UACGUAGGGUGCGAGCGUUAAUCGGAAUUACGGGGCGUAAAGCGUGCGCAGGCGGUUUGUUAAGACAGGUGUGAAAUCCCCGGGCUUAACCUGGGAAUGGCGCUUGUUACUGGCAGGCUAGAGUGUGUCAGAGGGAGGUAGAAUUCCACGUGUAGCAGUGAAAUGCGUAGAGAUGUGGAGGAAUACCGAUGGCGAAGGCAGCCUCCUGGGAUAACACUGACGCUCAUGCACGAAAGCGUGGGGAGCAAACAGG
Molecule: ribosomal RNA, 253 nt
Filed under: uncultured bacterium
Lineage: Bacteria
Description: partial 16S ribosomal RNA
Rfam family: Bacterial small subunit ribosomal RNA
Source: RNAcentral